GACGAACGCUGGCGGCGUGCUUAACACAUGCAAGUCGAACGAUGAAGCUGGAGCUUGCUCCGGUGGAUUAGUGGCGAACGGGUGAGUAACACGUGAGCAAUCUGCCCUUGACUCUAGGAUAACUGUGGGAAACUGUAGCUAAUACCGGAUACGAGAUUUGGAGGCAUCUCCGGAUCUGGAAAGAAUUUCGGUCAAGGAUGAGCUCGCGGCCUAUCAGCUUGUUGGUGAGGUAAUGGCUCACCAAGGCGACGACGGGUAGCCGGCCUGAGAGGGUGACCGGCCACACUGGGACUGAGACACGGCCCAGACUCCUACGGGAGGCAGCAGUGGGGAAUAUUGCACAAUGGGCGAAAGCCUGAUGCAGCAACGCCGCGUGAGGGAUGAAGGCCUUCGGGUUGUAAACCUCUUUUAGUAGGGAAGAAGCGAAAGUGACGAUACCUACAGAAAAAGCACCGGCUAACUACGUGCCAGCAGCCGCUGUAA
This 483-nucleotide ribosomal RNA is filed under the name uncultured bacterium. RNAcentral's name for it is "partial 16S ribosomal RNA". It matches the Rfam family "Bacterial small subunit ribosomal RNA", at positions 28 to 523 of the family's 1533-position model. The record is from RNAcentral.